Molecule: ribosomal RNA, 434 nt
Filed under: uncultured archaeon
Lineage: Archaea
Description: bacterial SSU rRNA
Rfam family: Archaeal small subunit ribosomal RNA
Source: RNAcentral
GGACCUGACUGCUAUCGGAUUGAUANUAAGCCAUGCGAGUCAUUGUAGCAAUACAAGGCAUACGGCUCAGUAACGCGUAGUCAACCUAACCUAUGGACGGGAAUAACCUCGGGAAACUGAGAAUAAUGCCCGAUAGAACAUUAUGCCUGGAAUGGUUUAUGUUCCAAAUGAUUUAUCGCCGUAGGAUGGGACUGCGGCCUAUCAGUUUGUUGGUGAGGUAAUGGCCCACCAAGACUAUUACGGGUACGGGCUCUGAGAGGAGUAGCCCGGAGAUGGGUACUGAGACACGGACCCAGGCCCUAUGGGGCGCAGCAGGCGAGAAAACUUUGCAAUGUGCGAAAGCACGACAAGGUUAAUCCGAGUGGUUUCUGCUAAAGAAACCUUUUGUCAGUCCUAGAAACACUGAUGAAUAAGGGGUGGGCAAGUUCUGGUGU